UCGGAGUUGAAACAUGUAUUUUGAUAAAGAGACAGAAUGUAUGGGUUCAUUAAGAAUGGAGAAGAAUCCUGCAUAUAUAAAUAGGUUAAUAACUUUGUGAUAGUAUUUUUUAUUUUAUAUGUGGAUGACAUUCUCUUAAUUAGAAAUGACAUCCCUACACAUUAUAAGGAAUAAAGGUUUGGCUGUCAUCACAGUUCUCCAUGAA
Molecule: long non-coding RNA, 205 nt
Filed under: Elaeis guineensis (African oil palm)
Lineage: Eukaryota; Viridiplantae; Streptophyta; Magnoliopsida; Arecales; Arecaceae
Description: long non-coding RNA (EGUI_LNC041067)
Source: RNAcentral